AUCCUUUGGUUCAUGAGCGUGAUGAUUGGGUGUUCAUGCCUUAUUCAUGAGAUGUGCCUCCCUCUAAACCUUUUUAUGACGUGGGCACAUUAUCUGUCUGACU
Octodon degus (degu) is the source of this 103-nucleotide small nucleolar RNA. RefSeq annotates it as small nucleolar RNA U13. The transcript has a single exon. The record is from RefSeq and is a predicted model, not a curated record. NCBI's taxonomy places the organism in Eukaryota, Metazoa, Chordata, Mammalia, Rodentia, Octodontidae.